UAUGUGAUCGUCUCUCGCAUAUCAAUAAGCGGAGGAAAAGAAACUAACAAGGAUUCCCCUAGUAACGGCGAGUGGAGCGGGAAGAGCUCAAAUUUGAAAUCUUAAAGGGUUUCCCUUUACGAAUUGUAGUUUAAAGAAGUGUUUUCUGUUGAGGUUUUGGUAAAAGUUCUUUGGAAUAGGACAUCAUAGAGGGUGAGAAUCCCGUAUUUGACCUUUACUUUCAACUUUGUGAUACACUUUCAAAGAGUCGGAUUGUUUGGGAAUGCAGUCCAAAAUGGGUGGUAAAUUUCAUCUAAAGCUAAAUAUUGGCGAGAGACCGAUAGCGAACAAGUACCGUGAGGGAAAGAUGAAAAGAACUUUGAAAAGAGAGUUAAACAGUACGUGAAAUUGUCAAAAGGGAAGCGUUUGACACCAGUGUUGUUUUUCUGAAAAUCAAUUAAAGAACUGUUUAUGCUAAGUUGUUUAGACUUUAUCAGCUAACUGUUUAGUUUUGAGCUUUUCUUUAAUGCACUUUUCAGUUAACAAGUCAACAUCAAUUUCUUUUGCUGUAAAAAAGCUUGAGGAAGGUGGCUUGAGAUUCGUCUUAAGUGUUUAUAGCCUCUUGCCUAUGCAGUCGGAGAGAUUGAGGUCUGCAGCGUAGAUCCUUCGGGGCUAAAUGCAUUUGUGCUAAGUUAUAGCAUUUUAUAGACAACUUGUUGACUAUGAUUUGUCUUGUAGCUUACUCGCUUAUGUUAUUUUACCUACGCUUAGGAUGUUGAUCUACAGAGCGAGAGU
RNAcentral lists this ribosomal RNA (774 nucleotides) under uncultured Neocallimastigales. RNAcentral describes it as "partial large subunit ribosomal RNA". It matches the Rfam family "Eukaryotic large subunit ribosomal RNA", at positions 24 to 631 of the family's 3401-position model. Lineage: Eukaryota; Fungi; Neocallimastigomycota; Neocallimastigomycetes; Neocallimastigales. The record is from RNAcentral.